Molecule: long non-coding RNA, 1071 nt
Organism: Olea europaea var. sylvestris
Lineage: Eukaryota; Viridiplantae; Streptophyta; Magnoliopsida; Lamiales; Oleaceae
Exons: 4
Source: RefSeq, a predicted model, not a curated record
GAGUAGCCCAAAACUCUCAAGCCCGUAAUCCUAAUCCAUUUUCCCCAAACGCUUCCAUCUGACCGUCUCUCUCGCUCGACUUCUCCUUCUUCCGCUUCCAGAGAUCCAGUUCCAGAUUUCCACUCUUCCAGAGUUCCAGUUCCAGACUUCCAGAAUCCUACAUUUCCUCACUUGGUUAGUUGGCUACUUGGCUUCGCAGUUCGCUCAAUUCAUUAAAGCCUCAAGUCUCUCUAUCGCUAGCGCGCACUCUCACAUAGAGAGAGAAAGCUAGGCAUAUUUUGGCAAUCAUAGAAAUUCGGGUUAGUUGAACAAUUUAGAGAGAAAAGUGUAUUAAGGCUCAAAUUGCAGUGGAAAAUGGAAGGUUCUGUGAUUCUAGCUCGAAGAAUGCUGUAAUAGCCGGAGGGUCGUGAGUUGUGAGUCUUGUGAUUGGAAUUCUCGAAGGUGUAACUCUACAGUUUUCAUAGAAAUUCUACUUCUCAGGAACAUGAAGUCACAGAACACUUAAAACCAACAUUGACCAAGGAGACAACGGGAGCAGUAAGAAAACCUAGUCAUUGAAUUUCACGCAAUAUCUGGGGUGAUGAUAUGACAUGUACCCAUACAGAUGGAUUUGGAAGAUAAAUUGUUGAGAUUUGAUAAGAUGCCUGACGGAGGAGAAACAAUGUAAGGAUUGAAAGGUACUUUCACAAAUUCAUUUUCAUGUUUCAAGUGACAUUUUUAGGACGUUUCGAAGGAGAAAAUGACAACUUUGUUGUGGUUGAAAUUGGAGUAAUUAUACAUGACUAAUAGUCCAACCAACAAAUUGCACCUGAUUCAAUGUCUAUAUUCUCAUUGCAUGAUAGAAGAGGGAUCUUUGGAAGAUCACCUGAUAGUUUUUAAGGAGAUCGCAGCGGAUAUAGAGAUUUAGAGGCAAAGUAAGAUGAAGAAGAUUUAGCCUUAAUUUUUUUUUUAAUGUUUAUUUCCCUCUUCUUUUAGAGAUAAGAUUUUGUAUAGUCGUGAUACUCUCACCAUUGAAGAUUUGUAUAAUGUUUUGUUUUCAAAAGAGACAAUAAAACAUCUAGUUGGAUCUAA